ACCGGAAGGCUUCAUAAUUCAGCAAUUGUAACGAUAGAUCAGGCGGAAUACGUAUACAAAGACAAGGCACUUCCAUAUUUUGAGUUCCUUAAAACAGCACUUCUGCGAAAGACUAGGAAGCUUAAAAUAAUUAUCCAUCACAAUAUCAGCAAUUCCCUGCAUAAAAAAAACGCUCAAGUUUUUUCACUAAAACACAAAAUGCGACAUUAGGUGGAUUUUUAAACGUAAAAUACCCAGCAGUUGAUCAAAAGACUUAGACGAUUGACGUUUAGCCGUCAAAAGAUGUUCUUUUAAAAAUGACCAAAAAGAUGGAUUGCCAGGGGGUAUUAAAAAAAGAUCGACCCGGGGUAAUUUUUUGCACCAAUUGAAUUGGGGUAAACACAAGGUCACUCGAACAGACGAACAAAAGAAACAUUAAAAUUUAAAAAUAUAAAAAUAUUGGUAUAAAAUACAAAUUAAUGAACCAUGGAAGAACGCAAAAUUCAUUCCCUCAUUGUGGGGCUAAAAUAUUCGCACACAGAAUCCCUCAAGUUUCUAACCAACUGUUAUGGUCUUCGUAGAUAAUUGCAGCUUUUUGAGAAUGCUCAGAGAUGAAUAUCAUUUCCGGCAUUGCUAACAAGUCUUGUGUUGUGGGUCGACAAUCCACGUACGGAUGCGUCAUACGCUGAAGCAAACACUGUAAUGAUUCAGCACACCUCACCUUGUUUAUUUGAACCUUUUCUUUCGACAAAAGGAGGUCUUUAAGAUUUGGCAAAUUUGAGUAAUCUCCAGACCUUAGUCGUUGCCAUUCAACACCAUUUUCUGGCAGGACUACAUUUGUUGCGGCUUCAAUCAUACUGAGGCCUAGUGAAUAUACAUCGGCUGGUUUCCCAUAAUUAUGCGAAGCUAAUAUUUCGGGAGCUAUAUAGACUCUGUCGCCUUCGAGAUCAACCAUCGAGGAGACCGGUAAACUAGUUGCUAGUCCGAAGUCUCCCAACUUUAAGUUACCAUCACGAGUUAUAAGAACGUUGGAAGGCUUAACGUCUAAAUGAACAAAUUCUAAAAGAUGAAUGAAAUUUAAUGCCUAUGUUCGGUUAGUGAAUUCAAAUGACGUGUCUGUGGAACGCGACUUUUAAAUAUGUAAUAACUUACUUGAGUUAGUUGAAACAACAUUUUCCACACGCGAAAAGGAUCCAUGACCUGCAAUAAUCCCAAUUCGCUUAAAAAUAAACUUAGGUCUCCGUUUUCACAAUAAUCUAAUUGCAAAAAUAUAUUAUCAUUGUAGCUCCAAACGUUCACUAGAUUUACUACAAAUGGACAUGCUUGCAAGCGUUGCAAAAUAGAUACUUCCUGUAAGUGACGCUCUUUUCCUGUAAACUUGGCUGCAUUUUUUUUUAACAUUUUUACAACGUAAACCGUUUCAGUAGGUGGGUUGAUCGAAGACACAUGAUAUACAAAUGAAAAAUCACUCUCGUGUAUCGGCUUAACUUGUUGGAAUCGAAUUCGAAGAUCACUAGUCCAAUCUUCCUCUUCUUCGUAAUCAUCUGCGCUGUUGAUGUUUAAAAAAAUUGGACUGGUAGGUGUCCAACUUAAUGAAGAAGGUACGUCUUUCUCAUCCCAGUUAUUAACGUGGGAACUUGAAAGGAAAAUAGGCUGACUCUUGCAAGGCGUUUCGCAAAAUUCCAACAAGUCCUCUGAACCAUAAGACAAAGAAGGAAGUUCUUCCAUUUCAAACGUUUCAUCCGAGCUGUCAGAGUUUGGAUGAUCCAACCGACUAAAAGUAUCUAGGUCGAUAUGUUUACAUUUGCGAGCUAAAAGAGAGGUAGUGGGUGACAGCGGAGAUUGAGGUGGUUUUAAUUUUAUUUUCGUUCCCUUUUUACAAGGUGUAUGAGGUUGUUCACUUCUUGGAUUAGUCAAAUUCCCUUCCCAUAAUGACCACUUUUCACGUUUUGAUAACAGUCCUGUGCUUAAAGAAGUCACCGCCCUUUUUCGUUUUAAAUCAAUUGGCGUUGAAGCAUCCACAAUUUUUUUGGAUAACUUCAAGCCGCUCGAAAAUGCAAAUGGUUUGCUACACCCAUCGAGAUCUGAAUUCUUAAAAAUUCCGUGGCGAACUGUAGUGGAUAAUCUGAUGGCUUUUGCAUUAUUUUGCAUAGGGGUAUGUGGACUUCUUUUUGUAUUGGAAGGUUUAAAGAAUGUCAGUUUUGAUGACUUAUGGCUCUGAUUUUCUUCAUGGCCAGACGAAAAAUUGUAAAUGGGUUCAUCGUAGAAAUUUAAUGGAGAAUGCUCAUUAAACGAAGAGGAUAUAUUAAAAAAACAUGGUGUUCGCGUUGGAGUAAUUGGGAUGGUGGUUGAUGAAUCCAUCUUUAACUGAAACCUGAAUGUAAAUAAAGUUAUAUUUUUUUGCUUAUUAGCUGUUAAAAUCCCGUUUUCACUUUGAUAUCUCCGGUUUUCCUAAAUAAUAAAUAAUAUG
This 2449-nucleotide long non-coding RNA is filed under the name Schizosaccharomyces pombe (fission yeast). The record is from RNAcentral. Lineage: Eukaryota; Fungi; Ascomycota; Schizosaccharomycetes; Schizosaccharomycetales; Schizosaccharomycetaceae.